GAUGAACGCUGGCGGCGUGCCUAAUACAUGCAAGUAGAACGCUGAAGGAAGGAGCUUGCUCUUUCCGGAUGAGUUGCGAACGGGUGAGUAACGCGUAGGUAACCUGCCUGGUAGCGGGGGAUAACUAUUGGAAACGAUAGCUAAUACCGCAUAACAGUAGAUGUUGCAUGACAACUAUUUGAAAGGGGCAAUUGCUCCACUACCAGAUGGACCUGCGUUGUAUUAGCUAGUUGGUGAGGUAACGGCUCACCAAGGCGACGAUACAUAGCCGACCUGAGAGGGUGAUCGGCCACACUGGGACUGAGACACGGCCCAGACUCCUACGGGAGGCAGCAGGAGGGAAUCUUCGGCAAUGGACGGAAGUCUGACCGAGCAACGCCGCGUGAGUGAAGAAGGUUUUCGGAUCGUAAAGCUCUGUUGUAAGAGAAGAACGAGUGUGAGAGUGGAAAGUUCACACUGUGACGGUAUCUUACCAGAAAGGGACGGCUAACUACGUG
This 497-nucleotide ribosomal RNA is filed under the name uncultured bacterium. RNAcentral describes it as "partial 16S ribosomal RNA". It matches the Rfam family "Bacterial small subunit ribosomal RNA", at positions 28 to 507 of the family's 1533-position model. The record is from RNAcentral.